GUCGCUGGCAUCCUUGGUGGUGCGAGAGGAAAGUCCGGGCAGCACAGGACACUCCACUUGUGAAAAUGCAAGCUGUGGGCGACCGCAGGUGCAGGCAGAAGAAAAUAACCGCCAUGCGAUACUUCCCUCGGGGAGUGCGUGGUAAGGGUGAGAAGGCGGUGUAAGAGACCACCAGCCGGCGGGCGAUCGUCGGGCUGUGCCUACUGGGGGCUGCAAGUUCGCGUAUACCAUCGACUGAGGGUUGUCCGCCCGACGAGCCUUCGUGGCUCACGAUGGAGGGUAGAACGCUUGAGCCGCAGGGCAACUUGCGGACUAGAUAAAUGACAGGCACCUGCCUGACCGAGAGGUCUUGCAGGGACAGAACCCGGCUUACAGGGGCAC
This 381-nucleotide RNase P RNA is filed under the name uncultured Prevotella sp. RNAcentral's name for it is "Bacterial RNase P class A". It matches the Rfam family "Bacterial RNase P class A". Rfam says of the family: Ribonuclease P (RNase P) is a ubiquitous endoribonuclease, found in archaea, bacteria and eukarya as well as chloroplasts and mitochondria. Its best characterised activity is the generation of mature 5'-ends of tRNAs by cleaving the 5'-leader elements of precursor-tRNAs. Lineage: Bacteria; Pseudomonadati; Bacteroidota; Bacteroidia; Bacteroidales; Prevotellaceae. The record is from RNAcentral.